Molecule: ribosomal RNA, 447 nt
Filed under: uncultured bacterium
Lineage: Bacteria
Description: bacterial SSU rRNA
Rfam family: Bacterial small subunit ribosomal RNA
Source: RNAcentral
UGCCAGACUCCUACGGGAGGCAGCAGUGGGGAAUAUUGCACAAUGGGGGAAACCCUGAUGCAGCGACGCCGCGUGAGUGAAGAAGUAUUUCGGUAUGUAAAGCUCUAUCAGCAGGGAAGAAAAUGACGGUACCUGAUUAAGAAGCCCCGGCUAACUACGUGCCAGCAGCCGCGGUAAUACGUAGGGGGCAAGCGUUAUCCGGAUUUACUGGGUGUAAAGGGAGCGUAGACGGCAGCGCAAGUCUGAAGUGAAAGCCCGCGGCUUAACCGCGGAACGGCUUUGGAAACUGUGGAACUGGAGUGCUGGAGAGGCAAGCGGAAUUCCUAGUGUAGCGGUGAAAUGCGUAGAUAUUAGGAGGAACACCAGUGGCGAAGGCGGCUUGCUGGACAGUAACUGACGUUGAGGCUCGAAAGCGUGGGGAGCAAACAGGAUUAGAUACCCGAGUAC